RNAcentral lists this ribosomal RNA (253 nucleotides) under uncultured bacterium. RNAcentral's name for it is "partial 16S ribosomal RNA". It matches the Rfam family "Bacterial small subunit ribosomal RNA", at positions 524 to 776 of the family's 1533-position model. The record is from RNAcentral.
UACGGGGGGCGCAAGCGUUGUUCGGAAUUACUGGGCGUAAAGCGCACGUAGGCGGCUUUGUAAGUUAGAGGUGAAAGCCCGGAGCUCAACUCCGGAAUUGCCUUUAAGACUGCAUCGCUUGAAUCCGGGAGAGGUGAGUGGAAUUCCGAGUGUAGAGGUGAAAUUCGUAGAUAUUCGGAAGAACACCAGUGGCGAAGGCGGCUCACUGGACCGGUAUUGACGCUGAGGUGCGAAAGCGUGGGGAGCAAACAGG